GAACCAUCGAGCAAACCCAGGGAUAAUCUCCUCUUCCUCCACGGACACCACUGUCCUCAAAUAUCUCAGGAAAUAUGAACGCAGCGCAACAACAUUUGUUGUCUGUUUGAGAUCCAAAUGUAAGAGGCGUUCUGUCUGCGAGAUAUGCUACUGAUUGAACCCUUCGCAAUGUUUCCUCCCCUGGCGAUAGAAUGUUUGCAAUUCUUGGACGAGGAUUCAGCCGUUUGGACAGGCAUAUCUCACCAGGGUGAGCCUCGAAUAGAACAUUCAUCUCCAAUCACCUGCACAUUGUGGUCGAUUUCCAUCCAUGAAGGCUGUUGUUCAAAGAGGCCUGAAUAAAGAAGUUAGGAAAAGGAACCUGAGAAGCUAUUUUUCUUCCCUGAGAAGGAACAACUCCACAAGAGAGUUCCAAAUCCUUCCGUCCUAGAGAUUGUCUAUCCAGCCUCGAGGUCUGGGUGAAGAUUAAAUCAUGUUCCGAAGAAAGGAAGAGUAAACGGUGCCUGAUUUCAUUGCAUCAACACACCUGACAUCAGCUGCAUUCCAAAUGCAAUGUGACCCUGCAACCACCAUCUGACAUUGGCUUUGAUGGGCUCUGAAAGUGGGAUUGAGUACCUUCACCAACUCUGCUUGCUCCACCUCUGGUCUUCACGAAAGAUGACUGAAUACAUGAUUUUGACCACUGGUGACACGUCAAGUCCCCCAUACUAUCUGUCAUCAAUGCCACUCAUGCAUUAGCCUCCAGGUGCUCAAGGAACCAGUUUUUCCUGACAAUGAUUGAUAGUGGCAUUGGCCAACUUGCCAUGUAUUUGAGAUCUGCUUGCUGGAGGAGAACAAACAAUGAGUGAAAUCCAUGAGGUGUGAGUACUCCAUUAACCAUGAAGAUGAAUACACUUUGAAAGGAGCCCUCCAGUAGAGAUGGAGAAUGUGUGCGAAUCAGUGGGUGAGGACAUGGAGAAAUGCCAUCUUGUCAUUGACUUAAUCUUGAGCUGUCAAAGUGGAUUGAGAAUCCCAAGCAGGACAUUUCCCCUAAAGUUACUCCAAAAAUCCAUCAGUGCUCGUGGACUCUUCCUUCCCCAUUACAACUCACUUAGGCCAAUAGCUCCUGAGGCUAAGAUCAAGCUUGAUUUCAGAGACUUGAGACUUGAAGUUGCAAGAUGGAGCUAGAACAUGGCGUUCUAUCCCAGAAGAGGAUCAAUUAUCCACUACAAUUGUUCCACUCUUUUACUUGUGUGUGAUUGUACUCGUGGUAUGAUUUGACUGGAUAACACAAAAAAAACAAAGCUUUUCACUGUAUUUUGUUACAUGUGACAAUAGUAAACCGAACUACACUGAACUCCACAGAGAUAGAGUGAGGGGGGUUGUGGACAUGUGCGAGAAAGGUGAACUGGUGUGUGAAGUUGAUCAGGGAAACCAGGCUCCCAAGGGGACAAUAUGUGGCCUGGAACCUAUUUACCGAGCGGUCGACUCCCUUCAUUCAGGAAGAAACAGUGGGAAAAUUGUAACUGGGUUACCUCAGCCAGUGAGCAGGGUUUCGUUAUGAAAUGUUAAUUCAUGAGUGGAAAGCCUCCAAAAAUAGGGGCAGUGGCUUUACUUAGCGUAAAGACCCUUCAGCAGUUCAGGAAUAAUACGGCGUGAGGGCAGGGUAUUAUCAGGCAAUAAGUGGAUAUUUAAACACCUACACAAAUUAUAAACUCUCCUUUUCAGCCCUUUCAAGCUGUUUUAAAUCUGUUGACCCAUCCAUUAUUUUAAUCGUGUGAGAAAAAAAGAGUGAAAAAUAUAUAAUGUAAGCUCCAACAGGAAGCACUAUGGAGUACCUUUUCCCAAGAUUCAAUAAUCUACAGCAAUAGCUCAAUUUGAGCCUCAGUUUUGCUGAGAUAGUGGGAAGAUAAAUCAACUGUGUUAUUGCAUUGCAAGUGUUCAUGCAGUUUUGGUAAAGUGGAUUUAUGCUGGUAUAAUGUGAAUAAAAGAGUGAAGUACAUCACAGUGAAAUUUGACGAAAAAAAGAGGAAGCAAAGCCUGUGUGAAUCCAUACUGUACUAAACUGACUUUACUGAUUUCAUACAAAUCUGCAGAAAAAUAGCCACAGAUACAGGAAAACAUCCACACCCCAAAAUAUUCUCACAUAAAAACCAUCUGAAGAAAAAUAUCCACAAACAAAAAAUACCUGUAGGAAAUCAUUCACACACAAGACAUCUGUUGGGAACUCUCCACACGCAUUCAUAUCAAUGCACACACAUCUGCAGGAACAUAUAUACAUAAACACACACACAUCUGCAGGAAAAAUAUUAAUUCCCAACAACAUCUGUAGUUCUUCAAACACAGAAAGAAUCUGUAAGAAAAACAUCCACACACAGUAAAACAAUAUCCAGGACAAUACCAUGAUGUGCAUCUAGUGAAAUGCAUCAUCACACACAACUACUGCAGGCAAAUACCCACACCACAAAGCAUUCAUAGCAGAAUAUUUGAACAUUCAGUAAAUCUGUUGGAAAAUACCCCAUAUAAAAUAUAUCUUUAGGAAAAUAUCCGUCCUUCCAUCUGUGAAACAUUGCCAUGCAUGAUGAGCCUGCAGGAAAAUAUUAACACUUAAAAAGCAUAUGGGAAAGUACCCGCGCACAGAGCUAAGAAAAAAUAUCCAUGUGUACAAUUGUAGAAAAAUACACCAGCAUAUGAACUUCUGCAUAGAAUACAUGCAUAUAAAUAUAUUUAUGUUUAUAAAAACAUUAUGCUAAAAUGUGCAAUAUAAUUUACCAGGAGAUUUUUAUUUUUGCAAACAGCAUCGAUGCAAUGUUAUACCACUUAGACAGAAUGUAUUAAACAUUGCUGCUGGUUAA
Amblyraja radiata (thorny skate) is the source of this 2831-nucleotide long non-coding RNA. RefSeq lists it as uncharacterized. The record is from RefSeq and is a predicted model, not a curated record. The transcript has 4 exons. NCBI's taxonomy places the organism in Eukaryota, Metazoa, Chordata, Chondrichthyes, Rajiformes, Rajidae.